This 301-nucleotide ribosomal RNA is filed under the name uncultured bacterium. RNAcentral describes it as "partial 16S ribosomal RNA". It matches the Rfam family "Bacterial small subunit ribosomal RNA", at positions 509 to 807 of the family's 1533-position model. The record is from RNAcentral.
CAGCCGCCGCGGUAAAACGAAGGGUGCAAGCGUUACUCGGAAUUACUGGGCGUAAAGCGUGCGUAGGUGGUGGUUUAAGUCCGUUGUGAAAGCCCUGGGCUCAACCUGGGAAUUGCAGUGGAUACUGGGUCACUAGAGUGUGGUAGAGGAUAGUGGAAUUUCCGGUGUAGCAGUGAAAUGCGUAGAGAUCGGAAGGAACAUCUGUGGCGAAGGCGACUAUCUGGGCCAACACUGACACUGAGGCACGAAAGCGUGGGGAGCAAACAGGAUUAGAUACCCGAGUAGUCCCUGUCUCUUAUAC